GACGAACGCUGGCGGCGUGCUUAACACAUGCAAGUCGAACGAAGAGCGAUGGAAGCUUGCUUCUAUCAAUCUUAGAGGCGAACGGGUGAGUAACGCGUAAUCAACCUGCCCUUCAGAGGGGGACAACAGUUGGAAACGACUGCUAAUACCGCAUACGAUCUAAUCUCGGCAUCGAGGAUAGAUGAAAGGUGGCCUCUACAUGUAAGCUAUCACUGAAGGAGGGGAUUGCGUCUGAUUAGCUAGUUGGAGGGGUAACGGCCCACCAAGGCGAUGAUCAGUAGCCGGUCUGAGAGGAUGAACGGCCACAUUGGGACUGAGACACGGCCCAGACUCCUACGGGAGGCAGCAGUGGGGAAUCUUCCGCAAUGGACGAAAGUCUGACGGAGCAACGCCGCGUGAGUGAUGACGGCCUUCGGGUUGUAAAGCUCUGUUAAUCGGGACGAAAGGCCUUCUUGCGAAUAGUGAGAAGGAUUGACGGUACCGGAAUAGAAAGCCACGGCUAACUACGUG
Molecule: ribosomal RNA, 510 nt
Filed under: uncultured bacterium
Lineage: Bacteria
Description: partial 16S ribosomal RNA
Rfam family: Bacterial small subunit ribosomal RNA
Source: RNAcentral